GUUAGAAGCAAGUCACAGGUCUUGCCCACACUCAGUGAGAGGGAUUACAUGAAUGUGUGACCACCAGGAGAUGGUAACAAUUGGGGUCAUGAGGGGAUAUGACUGCUACAAUCUCCCAUCAUCAAAAACAAAAACAGGAAUCUAUCAAAGCAAGAGCACCAGUGAAGAAUCUAUUUGGCUGAUAUGGACCCUGUUCUUGCUGGUUAAUGAUGAGCAUCACUGUUCAGCUAGAACACUUGCAUGAUCAUUACAUGGAUGACUCCCUGUGGAAAUGGGAAAGGAAUAAGGAAUACAUAUUUGGAAUGAAGAACAGUUUACAAACACUUGUUUGUUGGUACUAAUUUACAGAGAAUAGUGC
RNAcentral lists this long non-coding RNA (358 nucleotides) under Pan troglodytes (chimpanzee). RNAcentral describes it as "long non-coding RNA NONPTRT012846". The record is from RNAcentral. Lineage: Eukaryota; Metazoa; Chordata; Mammalia; Primates; Hominidae.